This 310-nucleotide unclassified non-coding RNA is filed under the name plant metagenome. RNAcentral's name for it is "partial contains 5.8S ribosomal RNA, internal transcribed spacer 2, and large subunit ribosomal RNA". The stretch from base 1 to 105 matches the Rfam family "5.8S ribosomal RNA", at positions 50 to 154 of the family's 154-position model. The record is from RNAcentral.
GAAAUGCGAUAAGUAGUGUGAAUUGCAGAAUUCAGUGAAUCAUCGAAUCUUUGAACGCACAUUGCGCCCUUUGGCAUUCCGAAGGGCAUACCUGUUCGAGCGUCAGUUGCACAACUCAAGCACAGCUUGGUGAUGGGCGCCUGUCUCCCCGCGCUUUGCGGCGGGACUCGCCUGAAAAGCAUCGGCGGCCCCCGCGUCGGCCACGAGCGCAGCAGAAACGCGAACUCGUGAGCCCGUCCGGGCGGCUCCCAGAAGCUACACCCACCCAGUUUGACCUCGGAUCAGGUAGGGAUACCCGCUGAACUUAAGC